This 1126-nucleotide long non-coding RNA is filed under the name Coturnix japonica (Japanese quail). Its description in RNAcentral is "lncRNA (ENSCJPG00005019799.1)". The record is from RNAcentral. Lineage: Eukaryota; Metazoa; Chordata; Aves; Galliformes; Phasianidae.
CGCUCGCCGCCGCUGCCGACCCUCAACCGCCAGAGGAUGGGGGGGGGCUGGUUAAAGGGAGGAUGUGAGGGGGGUGAAGGAGGGAGGAAAUGUCACGCUCGGCGGGAGCGAGGGGACGGAGGGACAGCGAGCAACGCCGGCUGUCAAGCAGAGCAGUUGCCAAGUGAUCUUCUCCACAGCACCCACGAACUUUGGCCUUACACUGAAGAGGACUCAUCAAAUGGUGAGAACCUUAGUCCUGUGCAUGUGCUCAGCUGUGUUCACAGGAGGAUUUCUAUCAGCACCACCAGUCAGUGCAGCACAGCUUGGAUACGCAGAACUGUUGGAAAGACUGAAACUCAAAUAUGUAUUCCUGCUUUUCAAUGAAAUGCUACUGAAAUUAAUACAGGAGUGAGAGGUCUGGAAGUGCUUUAGCUAGCACUAAUUUGUUUGCUUUUAUGCUGUUCAAUUCAUUUCUUUUAAGACAGCAUGAUGUAAAUUGUUCAUUUGCUUCUCUAGUUUCCCAAUUUCUGGGAAAUUUUGAAAUCUGAGCUUCAAAACGUUUAUAAAAUGUUAGUAAUGCUCAUGAUUCUCAUAAAAGGAACAAAACGUUAUUGUGUUUAACCACUUUGUGAAAAGGGAACUGAAUCUAGAGAGGAACUAAUUCUAUCAGCGACUCCCUGCCUUAGUCAGGUCUUUAACCUUGUUCUAGCUCCUUACCAACACGUAGUAAUGAUUUUUACACGUGUGGGAUUAUUAAGCAUGCAUUUUAAAAAGAGAGAGUUUCCUUUUUUACAGCUGUAGGUGAAGGGUGGAAUAUUAGUAGCGGGAAAGGACAUGAGAAUGUAGGCGUUAAGCGCUGGUACUGGCUUCCUGGUAGUUUAGAGAGGUGACAGCUUAAAAUAACGGUGCAUACAAUGAUCCUCAGUUUAGGAGGCAGAUCACAAUGACCAGAAGUUCACAGGAUGCCGAGAGAUGUCCCUGAACUUUGCUGGUUCACUGUUUUGAUUUCAGUGGCUCAAUUUAUGUUUUCCUUUAGUAACCGUAUUGUAAAGUAAGGAGUAAAAGGGAAAGAAACCUACUAGAAGCUUACAAUCUCCACAUUUCCUCCUCCUUCUAUGAUCACUACCACAGAAAGACUGGAAUA